Molecule: ribosomal RNA, 1428 nt
Filed under: uncultured organism
Description: 16S ribosomal RNA
Rfam family: Bacterial small subunit ribosomal RNA
Source: RNAcentral
CAGGCUUAACACAUGCAAGUCGAGGGGCAGCAUGGUCUUAGCUUGCUAAGACUGAUGGCGACCGGCGCACGGGUGAGUAACACGUAUCCAACCUGCCGUCUACUCUUGGACAGCCUUCUGAAAGGAAGAUUAAUACAAGAUGGCAUCAUGAGUCCGCAUGUUCACAUGAUUAAAGGUAUUCCGGUAGACGAUGGGGAUGCGUUCCAUUAGAUAGUAGGCGGGGUAACGGCCCACCUAGUCUUCCAUGGAUAGGGGUUCUGAAAGGAAGGUCCCCCACAUUGGAACUGAGACACGGUCCAAACUCCUACGGGAGGCAGCAGUGAGGAAUAUUGGUCAAUGGGCGAGAGCCUGAACCAGCCAAGUAGCGUGAAGGAUGACUGCCCUAUGGGUUGUAAACUUCUUUUAUAAAGGAAUAAAGUCGGGUAUGCAUACCCGUUUGCAUGUACUUUAUGAAUAAGGAUCGGCUAACUCCGUGCCAGCAGCCGCGGUAAUACGGAGGAUCCGAGCGUUAUCCGGAUUUAUUGGGUUUAAAGGGAGCGUAGAUGGAUGUUUAAGUCAGUUGUGAAAGUUUGCGGCUCAACCGUAAAAUUGCAGUUGAUACUGGAUAUCUUGAGUGCAGUUGAGGCAGGCGGAAUUCGUGGUGUAGCGGUGAAAUGCUUAGAUAUCACGAAGAACUCCGAUUGCGAAGGCAGCCUGCUAAGCUGCAACUGACAUUGAGGCUCGAAAGUGUGGGUAUCAAACAGGAUUAGAUACCGUGGUAGUCCACACGGUAAACGAUGAAUACUCGCUGUUUGCGAUAUACAGCAAGCGGCCAAGCGAAAGCGUUAAGUAUUCCACGUGGGGAGUACGCCGGCAACGGUGAAACUCAAAGGAAUUGACGGGGGCCCGCACAAGCGGAGGAACAUGUGGUUUAAUUCGAUGAUACGCGAGGAACCUUACCCGGGCUUAAAUUGCAGAUGAAUUACGGUGAAAGCCGUAAGCCGCAAGGCAUCUGUGAAGGUGCUGCAUGGUUGUCGUCAGCUCGCGCCGUGAGGUGUCGGCUUAAGUGCCAUAACGAGCGCAACCCUUGUUGUCAGUUACUAACAGGUUCCGCUGAGGACUCUGACAAGACUGCCAUCGUAAGAUGUGAGGAAGGUGGGGAUGACGUCAAAUCAGCACGGCCCUUACGUCCGGGGCUACACACGUGUUACAAUGGGGGGUACAGAGGGCCGCUACCACGCGAGUGGAUGCCAAUCCCAAAAACCUCUCUCAGUUCGGACUGGAGUCUGCAACCCGACUCCACGAAGCUGGAUUCGCUAGUAAUCGCGCAUCAGCCACGGCGCGGUGAAUACGUUCCCGGGCCUUGUACACACCGCCCGUCAAGCCAUGGGAGCCGGGGGCACCUGAAGUGCGUAACCACGAGGAGCGCCCUAGGGUAAAACUGGUGAC